This 468-nucleotide ribosomal RNA is filed under the name uncultured bacterium. Its description in RNAcentral is "partial 16S ribosomal RNA". It matches the Rfam family "Bacterial small subunit ribosomal RNA", at positions 28 to 507 of the family's 1533-position model. The record is from RNAcentral.
GACGAACGCUGGCGGCGUGCUUAACACAUGCAAGUCGAACGGAAAGUCCCUGCUUUUGUGGGGUGCUCGAGUGGCGAACUGGUGAGUAACACGUGAGUAACCUGCCCUUGACUUUGGGAUAACUUCAGGAAACUUGGGCUAAUACCGGAUAUGAUCUCCUGCUUCUUGGUGGGGGUUGCAUAGUUUCGGCGGUUGGGGAUGGACUCGCGGCUUAUCAGCUUGUUGGUGGGGUAGUGGCUUACCAAGGCUUUGACGGGUAGCCGGCCUGAGAGGGUGACCGGCCACAUGGGGACUGAGAUACGGCCCAGACUCCUACGGGAGGCAGCAGUGGGGAAUAUUGCACAAUGGGCGGAAGCCUGAUGCAGCAACGCCGCGUGCGGGAUGACGGCCUUCGGGUUGUAAACCGCUUUCGCCUGUGACGAAGCGUGAGUGACGGUAAUGGGUAAAGAAGCACCGGCUAACUACGUG